AAGAUCAAGUUACAUUUUGCUCGUGUCCCUGUGAAGACUGAAAAUGAUGAUGAAAUACCACAGUCAUCACAGGUUCUUCAAAACUCAGACAUGUUGCAGCAGUUGGUGAUUAAAGAAGAAAUGCUCCCUGAACAGCAGGAGUUGAGUCUGAGUGUCGACCAGAAGGACGUUAAACAGGAACAAGAGGAAGUCUGGACAAGUAACGAGGGACAGCAGCUUAACUGGCUGGACACUGAGAAGAUCAAGUUACGUUUUGCUCGUGUCCCUGUGAAGACUGAAAAUGAUGAUGAAAUACCACAGUCAUCACAGGUUCUUCAAAACUCAGGUAUGAAUUGAUCAAAACUCUGUGAAACAUCUGUUAGUUGGAGCAGGUGUUCCACUGCUAUGGAACUAUUUAAUUGCUCUGAAUAUGGAAAACGAAUUCUCCCGACCACAUAUAGGAAAAAUCAACCCAGGAUGCAUUGCGUUAACAUUUGAGGCCUCAUGUACAAAGACUUGAGUGGAUUUUCUACUGAAACAUGUGCACUCCAAAACCCAGAAACUGGCAUAAUCACAAAAAUAUCCAGAUGUAUCAAAGCUUGCAUAUGAAUGAAUUCAAGCACGUUCCCUUUUCACGCCCCUAAAAAUGUGAAAAUGCAUGUAAAUUGGUCCUGGGAGUUGGGAAUCCCCUGUCUGUCAGAUCGGUCAACAUGAACACAGAAAAGAAAGUACACAGAGUGGAGCUACAGAUGACACACAGGGAUAGUUUCUUUUGGUACAAUGUCAAAUGAAAUAAACGUGAACCAGUAAAAAAUGUUAGUUGGAGCUCGUGUGUGUGUGAGCUCAAAGCGGCGCACACACACUGAAGUAUUAAAAAAAAAAAGAGGUAUGCCGACUGACAGUGUGACAUUCACAACAUUACACUUGUUUUUCGACAAAUACUGAACACA
Molecule: long non-coding RNA, 929 nt
Organism: Thalassophryne amazonica
Lineage: Eukaryota; Metazoa; Chordata; Actinopteri; Batrachoidiformes; Batrachoididae
Exons: 2
Source: RefSeq, a predicted model, not a curated record